AUGGCAGCGUGGAGGAUUUCAAAGAGUUUGUUGAUGUCAUCAUGUCUGGCGGUGGGUUGUGGGAGGAGGGGGGUCUUGAGACAUUGGGUUAAAAAUUUGUUGUUUUUUCCUCCCGUUGCAACGCACGGGCAUUUGUGCUACUAUAAUAAUAAAGAAAGUUGGGUUUCUGGUAGGCCAUCGUUGCUAGCGAUUUUGCAAAAAAGUCCCUCGGUUUAUAAGAAAUUAACCCGCAGUCCCUGUUUUAGUGGGUCUAUAUAUAACGUUUCAAUUUUGCAAAAAAGCCCCUGUACUCAUUUGAAUUUCACCCGCUGUCCUCCCGUCGUCUUAUCCAUUUCUCCCGCGACAACGACGGCGGCUUCGCCCAUUCCGUCGUGGGCCGGCGACGGCCGCCGCCGUGCCUCGCGCGGGAGGAUGGAGGGCACUCGCCAGGAGGUUGGAGGACGUUCGCCGGGGCGAGUGCUGCGGAGGCGACGCGGCGAGGCGGGGCGGUGGCGGUUGUUGACCGGCCGUCGUGCGUCGCGGGGGAGGAUGGAGGACGCUCGCCGUGGCGUGCGCGGCGGGAGGCGUCUGCUGCCGCGCUUCGAGGUGGAGCAGUGGCGUUGGUCGAGGAGGCAGAGGCAGCCAAGUCAAUGA
RNAcentral lists this ribosomal RNA (633 nucleotides) under Triticum aestivum (bread wheat). Its description in RNAcentral is "partial small subunit ribosomal RNA". The record is from RNAcentral. Lineage: Eukaryota; Viridiplantae; Streptophyta; Magnoliopsida; Poales; Poaceae.